This 82-nucleotide transfer RNA is filed under the name Coelastrum sp. F187. RNAcentral's name for it is "tRNA-Ser". Lineage: Eukaryota; Viridiplantae; Chlorophyta; Chlorophyceae; Sphaeropleales; Scenedesmaceae. The record is from RNAcentral.
CGGAAAGAGUAGGAAUCGAACCAACAAUCCCAGAGGGAACCAACCUUCCAAAUUGGCGCAAUAACCAUUCUGCCAUCUUUCC